GAUGAAGAACGCAGCGAAAUGCGAUACGUAAUGUGAAUUGCAAAUUCAGUGAAUCAUCGAGUCUUUGAACGCACAUUGCGCCCCCUGGUAUUCCGGGGGGCAUGCCUGUCCUAGCGUCAUUGCUGCCCUCAAGCACGGCUUGUGUGUUGGGCCCCGUCCUCCGAUUCCGGGGGACGGGCCCGAAAGGCAGCGGCGGCACCGCGUCCGGUCCUCGAGCGUAUGGGGCUUUGUCACCCGCUCUGUAGGCCCGGCCGGCGCUUGCCGAUCAACCCAAAUUUUUAUCCAGGUUGACCUCGGAUCAGGUAGGGAUACCCGCUGAACUUAAGCAUAUCAAUAAGCGGAGGA
RNAcentral lists this unclassified non-coding RNA (345 nucleotides) under soil metagenome. Its description in RNAcentral is "partial contains 5.8S ribosomal RNA, internal transcribed spacer 2, and large subunit ribosomal RNA". The stretch from base 1 to 119 matches the Rfam family "5.8S ribosomal RNA", at positions 35 to 154 of the family's 154-position model. The record is from RNAcentral.